This 344-nucleotide unclassified non-coding RNA is filed under the name soil metagenome. Its description in RNAcentral is "partial contains 5.8S ribosomal RNA, internal transcribed spacer 2, and large subunit ribosomal RNA". The stretch from base 1 to 120 matches the Rfam family "5.8S ribosomal RNA", at positions 35 to 154 of the family's 154-position model. The record is from RNAcentral.
GUUGAAGAACGUAGCGAAAUGCGAUAAGUAAUGUGAAUUGCAGAAUUCAGUGAAUCAUCGAAUCUUUGAACGCACAUUGCGCCCGCCAGUAUUCUGGCGGGCAUGCCUGUUCGAGCGUCAUUUCAACCCUCAGGGCCCUUUUGGACCUGGCGUUGGGGCUCGGCCGCUACCCUGCGGCCGUCCCCGAAAGAUAGUGGCGGUCUCGCUGUAGCCUCCUCUGCGUAGUAGUUACAUCUCGCACUGGAACGCGGCGCGGCCAUGCCGUUAAACACCCCACUUCUCAAGGUUGACCUCGGAUCAGGUAGGAAUACCCGCUGAACUUAAGCAUAUCAAUAAGCGGAGGA